AACGCGAAGAACCUUACCAGCUCUUGACAUGUCUCGUUUGGGGACCGGAGACGGUUUCCUUCAGUUCGGCUGGCGAGAACACAGGUGCUGCAUGGCUGUCGUCAGCUCGUGUCGUGAGAUGUUGGGUUAAGUCCCGCAACGAGCGCAACCCUCGCCCUUAGUUGCCAUCAUUCAGUUGGGCACUCUAGGGGGACUGCCGGUGAUAAGCCGAGAGGAAGGUGGGGAUGACGUCAAGUCCUCAUGGCCCUUACGGGCUGGGCUACACACGUGCUACAAUGGCGGUGACAAUGGGAUGCGGAGGGGCGACCCCGAGCAAAUCUCAAAAAGCCGUCUCAGUUCGGAUUGCACUCUGCAACUCGAGUGCAUGAAGUUGGAAUCGCUAGUAAUCGUAGAUCAGAACGCUACGGUGAAUACGUUCCCGGGCCUUGUA
RNAcentral lists this ribosomal RNA (430 nucleotides) under uncultured Alphaproteobacteria bacterium. RNAcentral describes it as "bacterial SSU rRNA". It matches the Rfam family "Bacterial small subunit ribosomal RNA", at positions 958 to 1385 of the family's 1533-position model. Lineage: Bacteria; Pseudomonadati; Pseudomonadota; Alphaproteobacteria. The record is from RNAcentral.